AGUUUGAUCCUGGCUCAGAUUGAACGCUGUAGGCAGGCCUAACACAUGCAAGUCGAACGGUAGCACAGAGGAGCUUGCUCCUUGGGUGACGAGUGGCGGACGGGUGAGUAAUGUCUGGGAAACUGCCCGAUGGAGGCCGAUAACUACUGGAAACGGUAGCUAAUACCGCAUAACGUCGCAAGACCAAAGAGGGGGACCUUCGGGCCUCUUGCCAUCGGAUGUGCCCAGAUGGGAUUAGCUAGUAGGUGGGUGAACGGCUCACCUAGGCGACGAUCCCUAGCUGGUCUGAGAGGAUGACCAGCCACACUGGAACUGAGACACGGUCCAGACUCCUACGGGAGGCAGCAGUGGGGAAUAUUGCACAAUGGGCGCAAGCCUGAUGCAGACAUGCCGCGUGUAUGAAGAAGGCCUUCGGGUAUUAAAGUACUUUCAGCGAGGAGGAAGGUGUUGAGGUUAAUAACCUCAGCAAUUGACGUUACUCGCAGAAGAAGCACCGGCUAACUCCGUGCCAGCAUCCGCGGUAAUACGGAGCCAGCAAGCGUUAAUCGGAAUUACUGGGCGUAAAGCGCACGCAGGCGGUCUGUCAAGUCGGAUGUGAAAUCCCCGGGCUCAACCUGGGAACUGCAUCCGAAACUGGCAGGCUAGAGUCUUGUAGAGGGAGGUAGAAUUCCAGGUGUAGCGGUGAAAUGCGUAGAGAUCUGGAGGAAUACCGGUGGCGAAGGCGGCCCCCUGGACAAAGACUGACGCUCAGGUGCGAAAGCGUGGGGAGCAAACAGGAUUAGAUACCCUGGUAGUCCACGCCGUAGCCGAUGUCGACUUGGAGGUUGUGCCCUUGAGGCGUGGCUUCCGGAGCUAACGCGUUAAGUCGACCGCC
This 874-nucleotide ribosomal RNA is filed under the name Citrobacter murliniae. RNAcentral's name for it is "bacterial SSU rRNA". It matches the Rfam family "Bacterial small subunit ribosomal RNA", at positions 10 to 873 of the family's 1533-position model. Lineage: Bacteria; Pseudomonadati; Pseudomonadota; Gammaproteobacteria; Enterobacterales; Enterobacteriaceae. The record is from RNAcentral.